CAAGUCCUGAUCCUGUAUACUGAGCGCUGGCCUGGCUCCCUGAACCUCAGAUCAUUCUCUGAUAGGAAGGAGGGGCCCUAUGUAAGCCCCCCUGAGAAGGGAACAGUUCCACAGUUUGUCACUCAUCUUUUCACUCGACUGAGCGAAGAAAAACAGUUCAGUGGCAUUCGAUUGUGAAUCUUGUUCAAAUUGUACCUCUUCCCAGCAAUUGUAAAACAUACUGUGGUUGUCAUGCCAGAGGAGGUGUGGCUGAUUGAGGUAACAGGGUUGGUGGAGAGGUGAAGGUAUCAUGUAGCAGCUAUAAAACAGCCAAGGGAACUCAACGAGGACAUUUCUGCUGAGAUACUUUGUAAGUUUUGAGGAGCUUAUUUGCGGCAUGUUCUGCUUUGUUGGUGUGUGUAGGCUUUUGUGUUGAGAGGUUGUCAGGACUGUUUAUAUGUUGACCUAGUGCGUGUUUAUAUCCUUGCCUAAUGCUGAAUUCAUACUUCACUAACUUUCGGAUUAAUGUUGUAAACAUUCUGUACUUUUGCAUUUCUAACUAAUAAAAGACAGAAGUUUAUACAGCUGGCUCAAGAGACAGAGUUUGGCUUUAUCUCAUUGGUUGUUGAUUUAUUAGAACAUGGUCAGAGUUUCAGCCAAACAAAUAACAGCAGGAGAAAACAGCUGAAGACAUCUGGAUCUGGUUGACUGGUACCAAGAAGGAAGUGUUUGUAAUCAAGGGGUCAGCGUGGGGGUCUAGUAUUGGGGUCUAGAAUGGGAACAUACUGGUAUUGUAGAUAGGGUGGUCUCAAUACAAACAUCACGUUGAUGAUGUGGAGGAGGUAUUAAAAAGAGAAAGCUUCACUUGCUUUGCAUUCUGUCCUGUUCUUGCAGCGGACCAUACAGCAGCAGUGACACCAUGAGGUUCCAGGCUCUGUUCUUUCUCCUGCUCCUGGCAUGCAUGUACCUCACUCUGGCUCAAGGGUCCUAUGAGAACUGCUGUCUGAGGCAUGUUGCUGGCCUGAAGAAGAGUACCAAGAGGAAUGUUGUACGCUACAGGAUACAGGAAACAGAUGGAGGCUGCAACAUCAAGGCCAUUGUGUUCAUACUGAAGAAAGGGAAGACUGUUUGUGCCAAUCCCAGCCACAAAUGGGUACAGCAUCUGAGGACUGUUGUCGAUAAGAUUCCAGGGAAUGAGGGGAUGUAGUUGAUCAGUUGCUUCGUUGGAGGAUCUUUCAACCAGUGUACCAAUUUCCAAAAAUAGGACAGUCAUAUCAUCCUGUAACUAGAAUGUGAACUUCAUUAUAUUACUCAUUAUAUUACAGUUUGGCUUAAUGAGUUUAUAUUACAUGCUUUUGGGAGGAUACCUGAGAUUCAGAUGGCUGUUAGCAUGAGGUGACUAUCCGUGCCUGCUUGUAAUGUGCCACGGCAGCUUAGCAUUAUUGUGUGAGGGGGCGGAGGGGAUGGGGCGGGGGGGGGGUUAUUCACUAUCCUCAUGGGUACCGGAAAUCCCCCAAAAGUCCUCACAAGGGUAGUCAAUUAGGGAACAUUUUCCCUCAUGGGGACAUUUCCCACAUCCCCACGAGGACAAAUGCUAUUUUAAACUUAGGGGUUAGGUUUAGGUUCAGGGUUAGGUUUAGGGUUAGGGUUCAGGUUAGGGGUUAGGGAAAAUAGAUUUUAAAUGGAAAUCAAUUUUAGGUGGGGGGGUGGGGCAGAAUGCAUUGAAAAGCUACAAUUACUAUUUUGUUAAACCUUGAGACACUACAUGACAAAAAGUAUGUGGACACCUGCUCUAGUCGAACAUCUCAUUCCAAAAUCAUGGCAUUAAUAUGGAGUUGGUCCCCCCCUUUGCUGCUAUAACAGCCUCCACUCUCCUGGGAAGGCUUUCCACUUUAUGUUGGAACCUUGCUGCAGGGACUUGCUUCCAUUCAGCCACAAGAACAAAUGUGAGGUCGACAUUGAUGAUGGGCGAUUAGGCCUGGCUCACAGUCGAUGUUCCAAUUCAUCCCAAAGGUGUUCAAUGGGGUUGAGGUCAGGGCUCUGUGUAUGCCAGUCAAGUUCUUCCACACCGAUCUCGACAAACCAUUUCUGUAUGGACCUCACUUUGUGCAAGGGGGCAUUGGCAUGCUAAAACAGGAAAGGGCCUUCCCCAAACUGUUGUCACAAUGUUGGAAGCACAUAAUCAUCUAGAAUGUCAUUGUUUGCUGUAGCUUCAAGAUUUCCCUUCACUGGAACUAAGGGGCCUAGCCCGAUCCAUGAAUAACAGCCCCAGACCAUUAUUCCUCCUCCACCAAACUUUACAGUUGGCACUAUGCAUUGGGACAGGUAGAGUUUUCCUGGCAUCCGCCAAACCAAGAUUCAUCCGUCGGACUGCCAGAUGAUGAAGCGUGAUUCAUCACUCCAGAGAACGCAUUUCCACUGCUCCAGUCCAAUGGCGGUGAGCUUUACACCACUCCAGCUGCUUAACAUUGCGCGUGGUGAUCUUAGGCUUGUGUGCCAGAGGAAAUUUGGAACUCGGUAGUGAGUGUUGUAACCGAGAACAGACAAUUUUUACGCGCUGAGCGCUUCAGCACUCGGCGGUCGCGUUCUGUGAGCUUGUGUGGCCUACCCCUUUUACGGCUGAGCCGUUGUUGCUCCUAGACGUUUCCACUUCACAAUAACAGCACCUAAAGUUGCCUGGGUUAGCUCUAGUAGGGCAGAAAUUUCACAAACUGACUUGUUGGAAAGGUAGCAUUCUAUGACGGUGCCACGUUGAAAGUCACUGAGUUCUUCAGUAAGGCCAUUCUACUGCCAAUGUUUGUCUAUGGAGAUUGCAUGGCUGUGUGCUCGAUUUUAUACACCUGUCAGCAACAGGUGUGGCUGAAAUAGCAGAAUCCACUCAUUUGAAAGGGUGUCCACAUACUUUUGAAAAUAUAGUAUAUUUUUCUAUCAGUACUAUGUGUUAAAAGCAAUAUUUGUAUAACUUCACAUUUGUAAUAAAGCAAAAAAUUAUAACAAGAUGUUUAUUAGCCUCAUACAUAUUUAUGUGUUUAUCAAUGUAGGAUUUGAUCACCUGUCCAUAUCAAUAAUCUCCCCUUCAUACUUUUCAUUUGUAUGUUUCUAAGGACAGCUCACUGCACACUUCCUGUACUUGAACUCUUUAUACACAUUUCAUUGGAAAAAGAAAACAGACAAUUGCUUCACGCCACAAAGCUUUAGCCCGUCUUAUUGCCUUCAGCAUGAACCUACAUGAGUUCUUUGAAGCUUAGUAGUUGUAAUGCCACAUACUUACCUGAAAUGUGAUGUGAUGGACAGAGAAUCAAUGACAGUUUAUACAUGCUCAUUCUUGCUCCAGUUUCAAUGUUACAGUGUGUGUGAUGCCGCAGGAGAAAUGUCUUUAGUAACGCCCAGGCUCCAAUAUGCUGCGGGGGGACUAGGUUCCCAUGGGAAGAUGUAUGAUUACACGGUGAAGAAUAAAUACAGUACAUUUAGUUUGAAAGCACACAAACUUCUUUCCCAGGACAGGGCAAAUCAAAUCAAAGUUUAUUGGUUGCGUAUACAGAUUUGCAGAUGUAUACAGAUUUGCAGAUGUUUUCGCAGGUGCCGCGAAAUGCUUGUGUUUCUAGCUCUAAAAGUGCCGUAAUACCCAUAUACAAAACAAUACACACAUAAUCCCCCCAAAAAUGAAGAAAUAUCAGAACGAGCCAUUUCAGAGUCCGGAAUAUAAAUAUAUAUUAUAAACUGGGUGGUUCAAUCCCUGAAUGCUGAUUGGCUGAAACAUUUAUUUUUACUACUCUAAUUACGUUGGUAAUUACGUUGCGUCGUGCAUAAGAACAGCCCUUAGCCGUGGUAUAUUGGCCAUAUACCACACCCCCUCUGGCCUUAUUGCUUAAUUAUAGGCUCGGCUAUAUAUAGUAUGGCAUUGGUUGAAGCUCAAUGUUAAUUUCAUUCUGCACCUACAGUACAUAGCUCACAUUCUAGACGUCGUAUUAAAACGAGACAAUAGCGUCCAUAAAGUGACCAUUGGACUUAAAAAAGUUUGUUGGUGCAAAAGUUUUAAUAAAAAAGUAUAAUUUAUCGCUCACAUGGGCUCAUUUCUGUCAAUUAAGAACAAACGAUGAGCUAACUUUUUGUAGCAUAUCUGAUGUUAACAUAUUUUCAGCCAAAUUUCAGAGUUCCAAAACCAGGAGCAGCAACUCGGUUGCUGCUCAACAGCAGCUAGCUAGUGGCAGGCUAUGAGCUAUAAUUAGCUAAUUAACAUCAGUCGGAUGAGAAGCAUGCUACAAGCAAAGGAAGCUUUUAGCAUCUCCAUACAUACAAGCCGCAUACAAACCACAGAUUCGCGCCUUUGGAACAUUUACAUUUUAAAAAGUCAAUAAAUCAAUUGAAUAUACACCAUCAUAAUAAAUCCAUUAUUUAUUUUAGGCAGCUCUAAAGAAACGUUGAUAUGAAGAAAAUGUAUUUCAGAAGAACAGAAUACGAGUUGGCCUACUGUAUGUUAUCUGGCUAUGUGCCAUGCCAUAGUCUGUAGACUUGUUCAACUUUAGUUGUGAAUGACAGAAACCUUAGAAUGUCUUAGAAAUCAAACCAUAUAUGGGCUGCAUGAUGUCAGUGGUGUAAAGUACUUAAGUAAAAAUACUUAAGUCGUUUUUUGAGGUAUCUUUUCUUUACUUUACUAUUUAUGUUUUUGACAACUUUUACUUUUACUUCACUACAUUCCUAAAGAAAAUAAUGUUAUUUUGACUCCUUAUAUUUUCCCUGACACCCAAAACUACUCGUUCCAUUUUGAAUGCUUAGCAGGACAGGAAAAUUGUCUAAUCCACGCACUUAUCAAGAGAACAUUCCUGGUCAUCCCUACUGCCUCUGAUCUGGCAGACUCACUAAACACAAAUGCUUUGUUUGUAAAUUAUGUCUGAAUGUUUAACUGUGCCACUGGCUAUCUGUGAAUUAAAAAAA
Molecule: long non-coding RNA, 4914 nt
Filed under: Salmo salar (Atlantic salmon)
Lineage: Eukaryota; Metazoa; Chordata; Actinopteri; Salmoniformes; Salmonidae
Description: lncRNA (ENSSSAG00000089930.1)
Source: RNAcentral